CACACCGCCCGUCAAGUCACCUGAAUUGUCUGCACCCGAAGCCAGUGGCCGAACUCGCAAGAGACGGAGCUGUCUAAGGUGUGGGAGUAAGGGGGACU
Molecule: ribosomal RNA, 98 nt
Filed under: uncultured bacterium
Lineage: Bacteria
Description: partial 16S ribosomal RNA
Source: RNAcentral